AGCGAACGCUGGCGGCAGGCUUAACACAUGCAAGUCGAGCGGGCAUCCUUGUGGUGUCAGCGGCAGACGGGUGAGUAACGCGUGGGAACGUGCCCUUCGGUUCGGAAUAACUCAGGGAAACUUGAGCUAAUACCGGAUACGUGCGAGAGCAGAAAGGUUUAUCUGCCGAAGGAUCGGCCCGCGUCUGAUUAGCUAGUUGGUGAGGUUAUGGCUCACCAAGGCGACGAUCAGUAGCUGGUCUGAGAGGAUGAUCAGCCACACUGGGACUGAGACACGGCCCAGACUCCUACGGGAGGCAGCAGUGGGGAAUAUUGGACAAUGGGGGCAACCCUGAUCCAGCCAUGCCGCGUGAGUGAUGACGGCCUUAGGGUUGUAAAGCCCUUUUCUCCGGGACGAUAAUGACGGUACCGGAGGAAUAAGCCCCGGCUAACUUCGUG
This 437-nucleotide ribosomal RNA is filed under the name uncultured bacterium. RNAcentral's name for it is "partial 16S ribosomal RNA". It matches the Rfam family "Bacterial small subunit ribosomal RNA", at positions 29 to 507 of the family's 1533-position model. The record is from RNAcentral.